UGGAUUCAGAGGCUAGCUGUAAACCACUUCUUAUGAUAACAUACCUCCCUUUUUCUUAUCAUAGAGAGAAGAAAAAAUGAAAAAGGGGAAGCCGAUGCUAAAAGGGAAAUAGGGGCUUUAGACCUCUUAAACUGCUCCCUGCUGUCUAGGAGCAUUAUCAGUUUUGGGAUGUAGCUGACUUUCACCAUCCAGGCCCACUUGAUAGUUGUGUAAAAGGAACUGUUUGAUUUUUGGUUAGAAAAUAUGGUAUUUGUCUUUGAAGGAAUGUCGAAACAAGAUAAAUGAGGCAGGGAGGAAAUAGUAUCUCCAGGAAAAUGGGGAGAAGAGGCAUUAAGAAGGCAGUAUCCUAUUUCCAUAUAGGGUUUUGAAAAACCCAGGAAUUGGAGGCCUCAUGCUGUUCCCUGCAUUUCUGGAUGUCUGAUUGCAGCUGAUGGAAUGUAUUUCUUACUGCCCCAGAUUCGUUGACAUAGAAACAGCAUUCUUCCUGGUGAAACAGACAAAGACCACCUUCUUUAGCUGUCAGGACUUCUAGUCCCUGUCAGUUCUGAAGCACAACUGCUGCCAAAGAAUCGAACUUUUUCUGGAUGAUGAGCAUGGUUUCAUACAUUCACUGGAAACGGUUGCAAGCUUGGAUAAGAAUUUCUGGGAAGUCUUCGGCCCUGCUAUUCCAGUGCCAGCACCUGUAGCUACUCCUGCAGCAACCAGGAUUGGCACAACCUGCAGUGCCCUCUUAUGCUGGACAGGCCAUCACACCAACCUUGGAAUAUAGUUGGAUAGCAAAGUUAUGCAAAGAGUCCCUGAGUACUACAAGAGCUGGUCUACACAGAGAGUGUGGUCCUCCGACUUUUCAUGGGGCCUGCUUGUCUGACAGUCUAUGGAGCAUAUACUUCUGGCCUGUCCUUGGAGCGUGCUCGUCUGACUCACCAUGGAGCAUGCUUAUCUGACUAACCAUGGAGCAUGCUCCCCCACCUAUGCAUAGAAUGUGCUCUUGAGAACUUGCAUCUAUCUGCACACAGAGAAACAGAUGUGCUUUCAUUUUCCUAAGCAAAAUAACAGGAAGUAUCAUCAUUCUUGAGGUCACAGUAUUCAUAACAGGAAUGUGUGGAUAGUCACGUGAGAUCUAUUGGGAAGCAUGGUGUCUGGUUCAGUCCCUAUCUUGAGGGAGAUAAAAUAAUCUCAGUUCUCAAAUGGUGUCAGUCACCGUAAGGACCCAAUCCAAGAGGACUAAACACUUCUGUAGUCCCUUAUCAUCUGAGCUUGAAAGGGGCCUCUGCCUCUUCAGCCAGCUGGGCAGCUCACAGAAAUUCUAUCCUUGCAAACGGAGAUAUAGGUACCAGAGAAGCAGCUCUUCCCUCUGAUUAGUGGAACAGCUAUGACAGAAAUUGCCUUUUCCCCAAGACACAAAGUGACAUAUUAAAGGAGAAGCCUCUCUUUUGGUGCCAUGGAGUCAUUUAAAAAUAAAUGUAAAAACUCCAAAGAAUGUCUGUUUAAGCACAGCUGUAAUUCAGGGACACAAGACCAUUCACUUCAGCCAUCUCUCUGCCGGAUUCACUUCUUGAUCCUCAGAUUAUGUAGGAAUCAAAUCCAGUACUAUCUUUACUUUCAAAGUCAGUUUGCCUGUUUUGCUGGUGACUACAUGGUAUGUUAGAGCCUUGUACUUAUGCUUCAGUUUCCAAACCUAAUCGUGAUCAUGGGCCAGUAAUGUCGAGGACCAGGUCAUGAAAGCCCUCAUAGCUUACCCACCUGGGUAAGCUUGCAGGAAUAUUGCCAAAUGAAUGAGAGACUGAUGAAAACUGGAGAACAGUAGUGGGUGUGUUGCUAAGCAGCCUGGUAAAGAGGAUUACAAAUUAGGUCCGAUUAGUAGAAAAGGUGGGGUAAACAGUGAGAAAGACCGCUGUUCUGGGCUAGCAAAACUGGGUCCUAGUCCCAGGACGGCUUGCUUGGCUUUACUCACUCAACAAAUACUCCUCGAAUUUCUAGGCAUUUGACAGGCUCAGAAUAAGACAACAUUUCUUCUCCCAAAACAUACUGAAGGUGUCUAAUUGGAUCACAAGAGAGAUAUGGGAAGACAUUCCACCUUGGUAAGUAAACGUGGGGUAUGUGCUGAGCAAGAGGCUUCUAAAUCAAGUUGUUGUCCAGGAAAGCAUUCUGAAGACUAUUGCUUCAUGCCUUGAGGGAUACAAAGGGUCAUUUGUAGACUGGUGGAAAAAUUUGCCCACCACAGGGAACGGGACUAGUGUUGUUCUACAUCAUGAAAUGUAGGAGGUGGCAUUUGACAGCUGGUAGCAUAGCCAGAGGUGAAUAUAACCUAAGUUACGUUGGAAAGUAAAAAUGCCAUUGAGUCAGUACAAUUUGCAGUUGAAGGUAGAAGUCUAGAGUCAAGACAAAACUGGGUUUAAAGAUAAACUUUGACAUACACCAGUCACGUGACAGUAAUCACUUAAAAAACAAACAAACAAACAAACAAACCAAAAAAAAAAAAAACCAAACACUCUUCAAGUUUAGUUUCCUUAGCACAGUGUUCUCCUGAUUUGGUUAUCUAUUUAUGUCCAGCAACUCCUCUCAAAUGAAAUGCCUUAAGACAACACAUAUUUAGUAAUUCUCAGGGUCAUUAUGAAUUAAGAAUGUGUUAUGGCUUAAAUGAGGCCCUUGCUUCAAGGGUCUAUCACAUGGCUGCAACCAAAGUCAACCAUGGUUGUGGUGCUAUCUCAAGACUCCAGAAGCUCAUUUACAGGUCUCUUGGCAGAGUUUGAUUCUUGCUGGCUGGUGACCAGAGACUCUCUGGAGUUCUUUACUAUGUCUUGCCCUCCUAAGGCAGUAUAUAGCUUCCUCAGAACCAGUGGAGAUAUGGUGUUGACUGGCAAGACAGAAAGGCCAUUGAAGUGAAUUCUGAUCACUAUGGCCCCAUUCUGUUGGUCAGAAUUCACAAGCUAGCCUACCCUUCUCAGGUUGGCAGGGGUGGGUUGUUGGAGAGUAGGAGUGCAUGGGAGGAUGGGCAUUUAUACAAGAAAGAGAACACUAGGAAAUCAAGCUGUGGGGAUUCCAUCUUUGAUUUUGGUUUGCCUCUAAUUUGUAGGCUAGACCUCCAGUCAAAGUUAGAGCUAUUGUUAUGCUGAAUGGAGGAAUGCUUAGCCAGAGGAGAAAUGUUGAGCCAGAGGCAGAAUGUACGGUGGGUGGAAGAGUAAAUAAGGUUAAAUAAAUAACUAAGAGUAAAUAAGAGUAAAUAAUUUGGACAAGUCAAAUCGCCUCCUGCCUCUGAGACACCAUUUUGUCCUCAGCAAAAUGUAAAUAGUUGGUCACAGGGGGGCAAAUGAGGCAAAAAAAGUGCAAGCUUCUGUUUGUUUUCUGAGGUAGAAAACAUAGCUCUCUCCAGCUUGCAGGGACAAACUGCUCUGGGCCUUUUCUGUUGUGUUGAUUAGGAGUCUGUCAGUCUGGUAUCUUCAAGGAUUUUAGUAUUUGGCCCCUUGGAGACAAUUUUAAAGAAAUAUAUGAAAUAAUAUAUAAAUAAUUAAGAAUUACAUGGCUGGGAAAAACACAACGAGAAAGCUGGUUUUGGGAGUCCUUUAAAGUAUGUCUAAGGCUUUUUUAAAAACUACCUUUGCUUCUAAGGAUCCCGUGGCGGGUGGGCCUAGCUGAGAGAAAAUUGGCUAUACGUGGGAAAUUUCACGCUCCUGAUAUUAAAAUGGUAAUAAAAUCUCAUCCGGCUCCCAAGGCUUAGAGCAGAGGGGAUGUUUAUGGUGGAGGGGGUUCCCCAACACAGGUGCACCUCACAGGUUGUGAGGUUUCCAGCCCUACAGGGCAGCUGGGGUUAUGGACUCUGCUAGGGCAGUUCCUUCACUUUGGGAGAAAACACUCAGUUGUCCCGCCCUGGCGCCAGGCAGCUUCACUCCAGGCUUCAAUUGAAUGGUGUCACACAAAGUGGGAUUCACAGUCUGCGCUGGGGUGGUUUGCCCCAGGGAAGGUAAACAGCUGGGGAGGACAAUUCAGAGGGUGGCAGUGUCCUCCCAAAGGUUAGCCAGGGAUUGGGGAUAGGACUUGGGGGUCAGCCUUUCACAAAGGCAUGCUUCUCAGCAGGAAAUGCGGGUGGGGCUGAGCAGUCCCCGGAUAGAGACAAAGAUUCUUUGAAUCUUUAUCCGAUGGCCUGGCCUCUUUCGAGAGGGGUACCUGGGACGCCAGGGCAGGGAGAAAACUCCAGUGUGUAAUCUCAUUACCCUCCCUCGCUCUGCCAACCUAGAGCGCACAGUCGCUUAGAACCUACAGCUGCCCGCGCACUGAGUGUCCCUCCAGCCCAGGAGAUCACCUCCUGCAGCGUCAUUACCCAUACUGGAGAGUCGUGGGUAGCCCAGGAGUACUUGGGACAGCCCAGACCAGAUCCGGCCAACAGUCUCACCUUCCCAGGCUGGCUGCUCUACCAAACUACAGCAGUCUUAGGAAACCUAAUGAGAACCAGUUGUAGUAGCCGCUGGCAUACAUUCUCAGAGUCGCUGAUUGGUCAGUGGCUGAGAGCUGUAGCCAAUCAGCGCGGUUUUGGGGUCCGCAUUGCGGACCAAAGGUCCGAGUGGGCAUCUGCAGGCACAGUGGCCUGCAGAGACUCGAGGUGUGGAGGGCAGAGCCAGGGAGGAAUGAGCAUGUCUUGGGACCCCACAGCCAGGCGCCAUCACCGCCUAUCGCUGCUCCUGGUGCUCGUGCUGCUGUCACGAGCCGGGGCUCUGCGUCCUGUGGAGCUCUUUCCUUACGGGGACUUGUGGGGAGAUCUGCUGCCACAGGAGGGCGACUUUGAAAGCUCCCCGGCUGUGAAGCUAGCAGUACCUCUAUGCUUCUACGGUGUCCAGUUCAGCAACCUCUAUGUGGGCACCAAUGGCAUCAUCUCCACCCAGGACUUACCCAGGGAGACUUAAUAUGUCAUUGAUGAUUUACCUACUGACUUCCCAGCCAUUGCCCCAUUCCUGGCUGACAUCCACUCUAGUCACAGCAGUGGCUGGAUCCUGUAUGGAGGACACCUCCUGGGCUGUGCUGAGUCUGGCUGCUUGCUACCUGUGCACAGGCUUCCCGCUGACCGGGUCCAGCUUCCCCACUACCCACUUCUUCCUGGCCACCUGGGAGCAAGUGGGCGCCUAGGAGGAGGACAAGCUUGGGGCUGCAUGGUCUGGAGAGUGAGCUGCAUAGUUCUCCUAAGCAAGGAGAUGGUCUUCAUCCUCCUUACCACUUCCACCCUUGCCUACCCCAGGGACUUUCUGACAAGAGAUGAAAUUGCUUCUUGUGGCUAUGAAGUUCCAGAGGGAGAAGACUUCAUCAUGGCUACUAAGUAUCAAAGCACGACGAAAACCUGCAAGAUCACACCUUGUAACAGAAAUCCAGAGCAGACAGAGAACCAGAAGUAAGCUGCCUCAGGCUCCUGUCACCAUAGCCAGAGCUGCUCUGACUGCCCUGCCUUCCCCUCCUCCAUGAGUCCGGUGUCCUAACUGGCCACUACACACAAACCAUGGAUAAGUUGAUUUAGUCGAAUAUGUUGUCACAGCAAUGAGAAGAAUAACGAAUACCAUCAUCUCCCUGAAACGAGAAGUGCUGGCCACCUCAACAGAUUGCUGACUUUUCACAAAGCAUUCAUUCACAAGAAAGAAGUGAGUCUCUUGUAUCAUCAAAAGACCAAAGCUGUUAGAAGUCACUAUUUGUGAAGUUUCCAGGGAUGACAAGUUCAGGUUGAAAAGAGAGCAUCAAAGUUCGUUAUUCAAAAGCUCUUAAUGUUGCACAAAGCCGUUUUCACUACAUAGCCUUAAUUAAAAGUCGCCCCUUAAUUAUUUAUGUGCCACCAAGUGCUUCCAAUGAUUUCCCUAGAAGUGGCAGCUAACCUUCUGCAGAGUAGAGAGCAUUGCAUACAGUGACUCUGUGACAUUCAUUCAGACUACUCCCUGGUUCUUCCAGUCUGCCUACAACAGCAGAGAAAGGUGAGAGCUCAUGAGGACUCUGAUGAGAUUAAGAGCUACGAAAGUGCUGGUAUUUGGGGAUACUCAUUUAAGGCCCAGAGAAAUGUAAAACUCUAAGGGUUUUUUUUUGUUUGUAUUGUUUUGUUUUUGUUUUUUGAUGUUUUAAAAAGUCAACUCACAGGAGAACAAUCAGGCUGAGACUCGAACAGAUUUUAAAAAACUAAUAACAACCCUGAUGAAAGAAAAGUGAUCAAGUUAUCUAAUGCAGCCUCCUGGUGAGCAGACUGACUCUGAGGUUGCAGGAGCAACUGUCUGGCAAACUCCAGCCCUGGGCAGGUGAGCUAAGAACACUUGAGAGAGAAGGAUCCCAAUCUGGGCCAUCUCCAUAGUCUCCAAAGCAAAGAGCAAGGAUUCAUGGGAUUCUUAUAUUCCUAGCUCUUGGAGGGUGGAAGUAGGAGGAGCAAAGUGCUCAAGGUCAUCUUUGGCUACAUCAGUGUGUUUGAGGCCAGGCUGAGCUUUGUAACACCUUAUCUCAGAAAGCAAACACGCAAAGGAAAAUCACAGAAAACAAACAAAUGAGCCGCAUAGGCACUCACAACACCUCCAGCAUCCUGACAGGACAGGAGAAAUGAGCCGCAUAGACACUCACAACUCCUCCAGCAUCCUGACAGAAUGGGAGAAAUGUCUUUCCACUUUGACAUCUAUGGCAGGAAAGCUACAGGCCGUGAACUUUCACAUUUUGAUGAGCAGAUGGAAAAAUUGAGGAUGUAUUCUGGUGUCCAUGACGCAGGUCAGCCAACAUCUGUGCAGCUGCUGGUGGGAGGUGGUGGGAGAAGGCAUUGUGGGAAGCUCUGUGACCAGUGAGACUCAGGAUAGGAAAACAUCCAGUCUGUUAAACUGAAUUUUGGAUUCACAAAUCGGAGUCAAAAAAAAAAAAAAGAAAAGGAAAAAAGAAAAAAAGUGGUCAGGUUCAGGGCUUUUGGUCUUUCAGUGAUUUGAGUGCGUUCCUUGAUCCAUUUGGAGUUGAGUUGUGUUUGGGGUGAGAGAUAUCGAUCUAUUUUCAUUUCUCUGUAUGCUGCUAUUCACACCAUCUGUCUGUCAAGAUGCUGACCUUUUCACCAGUGUGUAAUUUUGUUUGCAUUGUGAAAAACAAGGUGUUUUUACCUGUAUGGAAUUACAUCUGGUUCUGAGUCUUCAAUUCUAUACAUUGACCAAUGUGUCUAUUAUUUCAAUAAUAUGCUGUUUUUUAUUACUGUAAGCUUUUUAAUACAACUUGAAAUCUGGGAAAAAAAGUUUAAAUCCACUGUAAUGACAUGUAUUCUGUGUUUUUCUACAGUUUACCAUACAAAGUUAUCCCUUCAACCAUUUCCAUGGAUAUAAAUAUCAAUAAUUUAUCAAUUAAAUUCAAAUACAUUCAUUUAAUCAAUUUCAGGUUAGUUUACCCAAUCAACUGCAAGACCUCAAUUCAAAUAUGAGGGAUGAUUCUACUACAAAAAUCAUAACUUUUGACAACUUAUGGCAUCUAUAAUUUAUUAUUUGAGUAUGUGCUUAGACAAUAUACCCUGUAAACUUAGCUUGGCUUAAAACUCAUGAACAAUAUAAUGUAACAGUUUGAUCCAGUUCUUCCAGAGAGCGCCAUGCUCCAAGAAUUAAGACUCAGACUCAAGAUAUAUUUACAAAUACCUUGACUAUAUAGUGAGGCUCUUCUCUAACUAGAUCACAAUUUAGAAUAACUGACUUAUUUUAACCUACAUUCUGUAACAUGCCCACUUAACCAUGUUCAGGUACUAUGUGUCUCUCUCCUCACGUCUUCCAAGGUGAAUCUCCUGCCGCAUUCUAUCUCAGAAUUAUGAUUUCUUCCAGAUUUCCCACUUCUUAUUUACCACCUAAAUAAUAAGCCGUCAGAUUUAUUAUUAACAAGUGCCACAGUCAUAUCGAUAUUAGAUAUUCUCUCAAUAAUCCCCCUUUGAAGUACAAUAAAUGUCUCUUUUUCAAAUAUAAAUUGAAUAAAAUUAUAAAAAUUAUAAUAGUUAUAAGGUGUGAUAUAUAUUUACAAUGUCAAGUCCAUAGUAUGUGGUAAUUAAGAAAAAUAUCUUACUAUCUAUCCUGUCCUGGUGAGUUCAGAGGUCUUGAUCUAAAUCACAUUUUAUCCUAACUUGCAUUAACAACCUAAAACCAUCUUUUUAGGUCUAAUAAAUCCUCUUAAAUAUACCAACUUAAGCUUUUAUUGAGACUAUGAUUAUCUUGUAUUCAACCCCAAAAGACAACUAAGAAGAAAUAUUUCCUGAUUAAGUAGGAAGUGCAGACAAACACUUUCAAAGUUUUAAAAAUGGCAGACAGUUGGCUGUCGAGACCACUUCAAAGUAUUCUAAGACAUUGGAGCACUGUCUUCAGCUCUCUUGUUCAAAGUAUCUGACAAACCUUAUGUGGAGCAGGGAUUACCAAGGAUUUGCUUACCCUGUAUUGGCAAAGCUUGGCAAUCAAGUUCAAUGCAUUUGUUUUCAUUUUGUUUUGUUUUCUUUUCUGGAUGGCAUUCUGUCUGCCGAUUUAGUUAGGGCACUUUCUUUGCCCUGAGGCUAGCUUGCCACAGAUGAAGACAGCUCUAAAUGGAGUUUCUUUGGAGCUCAUCAUCUUCUUCUUCUAAGUUCAAUGAGGUAUAGCUGGGAUCUGAUAUGUUUUGAAAGACCCUCAGACCGAGGAGACUCUUGCUCCAAUCCUGAGGAUACCCACCACCCCACAAACAUGUGGGACUCAGUCUUGAUGGAAAAACAAGAGGUUUACUUUGGGAUAUGAGUGCACUGGGGCUUGACACGGUCCUCACACAGGAGGAAUGUGAAGAGCCCAGACCAGCAGAAAUAUACAGCUUAUACAAUCAUUUAAGGUUACACAGUUUCAUUAGCUCAGCUAUUGUGGUGCCAAGGAUAUCUGACUAGGCAGAUGUUCUUGUUCUGGAGUUUCUGAGAAAGGGAUGCAACCAUAUCAAUACAGCCAUUUCAGUACCAAGGAUGUCUGACUUGAUAUAUUUUUUCCAUCCUGGGGUUCCCAGGACAAAGACCAAGGAUAUCUGACUUGGCAGAUGUUUCUCACCUGGUGUUCCCAGGACAAGGCUAUAGCUAUGUCAGCACAACUAUGUCAGUUCCAAGGACAUCUAACUUGAUAUAUGUUUUUCAUCCUACAGCACAAUCUAUAGUGGUCAGUCAGCUUCCCGGAGAUGUUUCUUGCCUUGUAAUUGCCCUGCAGUAAAUACGAUCUAUACCAUCUGUUUUAUGAUUGGGUAUCUUCCAAGAGAGUGGGUGGGAAUGUGCUUUCUGUACUUUCUGGUCUAUUGUCUAACAUCUAGGAUCUAAGCAAGGUACAGCUUUAAAGAUUCUCAUUCUUAACAAAUGGCUGCACCUGAUCCUUUCUUAUCACCCUGUACAAACUUAAGUCCAAGUGGAUCAAGGACCUCCACAUCAAACCAGAUACACUCAAAAUAAUAGAAGAAAAAGUGGGGAAGAAUCUGGAACACAUGGGCACUGGAGACAAUUUCCUGAAUAAAACACCAAUGACUUAUGCUCUAAGAUCAAGAAUCGACAAAUGGGAUCUAAUAAAACUGCAAGGCUUCUGUAAGGCAAAGGACUGUGUUGUAAGGACAAAAAUUCAACCAACAGAUAGGGAAAAUAUGUAUACCAAUCCUACAACUGGUAGAGGGCUUAUAUCCAAAACAUACAAAGAACUCAAGAAGUUAGACCGCAGGGAGACAAAUAAACCUAUUAAAAAAUGGGGUUCAGAGCUAAACAAAGAAUUCACAGCUGAAGAAUGCCGAAUGGCUGAGAAACACCUAAAGAAAUGUUCAACAUCUUUAGUCAUAAGGGAAAUGCAAAUCAAAACAACCCUGAGAUUCCACCUCACACCAGUGAGAAUGGCGAAGAUCAAAAACUCAAGUGAGACCAGAUGCUGGCAAGGAUGUGGAGGAAGAGGAAUACUUCUCAAUUGUUGGUGGGAUUGCAGACUGGUACAACCAUUUGGAGAUCAGUCUGGAGGUUCCUCAGAAAAUUGGAAACUACCUGAGGACCCAACUAUACCUCUCUUGGGCAUGUACCCAAAAGAUGCCCCAACAUAUAACAAAGACAUGUGCUCCACUAUAUUCAUAGCAGCCUUAUUUAUUAUAACCAGAAGCUGGAAAGAACCCAGAUGCCCUUCCACAGACGAAUGGAUAUAGAAAAUGUGGGAUAUCUACACAAUGGACUACUACUCAGCUAUCAAAAACAAUGACUUUAUGAAAUUCAUAGGCAAAGGGAUGGAACUGGAAAAUAUCAUCCUGAGUGAGGUACCCCACUUACAGAAAAACACACAUGGUAUGUACUCAUUGAUAAGUCAAUAUUAGCCCAAAUGCUUGAAUUACCCUAGAUGCACAGAAGACAUGAAUUCAAGAAGGAUGGCCAAAUGCGUAUACUUCACUCCUUAAAAGGGGAACAAGAAUACCCUUGGCAAGCAAAGUUUAGAAUAGAGACUGAAGGAGCACCCAUUCUGAGCCUGCCCCACAUGUUGCCCAUACAUAUACAGCCACCAAACUAGAUAGGAUGGAUGAGGCAAAGAAGGGCAGACUGACAGGAACCGGAUGUACAUCUCUCCUGAGAGACACAGCCAUAGUAUGGCAAAUACAUAUGCGAAUGUCAGCAGCAAACCACUGAACUGAGAACGGGACCCCCAUUGAAGGAAUCAGAGAAAGGACUGGAAGAGGUUUAAGGGGCUCGUGACCCCAUAUGAACAACAAUGCCAACCAACCAGAGCUUCCAGGGACUAAGCCACUACCGAAAGACUAUAUAUACAUGGACUGAACCUGGCCUCCAACCGCAUAGGUAGCAAUGAAUAGACUUGUAAGAGCACCAGUGGAAGGGGAAGCCCUUGGUCCUGCCAAGGUAGAACCCACAGUCUUACAUCUCAGAAAUAUCCAAACGAGAGGAGGAGGAGGAGGAAGGUGAAGAGGAGGAGGAGGAGGAGGUGGAGGAAGAGGAGGAAGAGGAGGAAGAGGAUGACGAUGCCACAACAACAACAACAACAACAACAACAACAACAACAACAACAACAACAAACAUGGAUUAAAAGUAACAUCACUAGGUCAGUUGUCAGCAUUCUCUGUCCAUGGGAUAACCAAAAGAGUUUGUCAUGAUCUCCGAAGUUACUGGACUGGCAACUACAGAGCAUCCAUUGUAUGCCGUGUCCCAUUACAUAUCACAAGUUGAAGUUUCUUCCUAUGUUUUUAGUCUUCGUAGUGGAUUGCCCAAAAUGAUCAUUUCACCCAUGUCUGAUCUGAUGAUUUUUAAAUAAUAAUUCUGUUUUCUCGCUCUCUCUGAGAGUAGUCUAUAGGCUAUUACAGUGGCUAGAGGAGGGUGAGAUUUUCCUCAAUGGUUUGCUACAGUUAAUUUGCACAUGUUCCUGUGAGAAACCCUAAUUAAAAUAAUUACCCCCCCCCCAGAAAAUGACAGAAAAGUAGAGGCGGAAUAAAAGGAAAGGUGGAGAGAGAGAAAGAGUGUGACAGGAAGAACGGAGAGGAAGGGGAAUGGAUGGGAUCAAAUUAUUAGCAUGUAUGAAAUGUAAGAUGAUGAAAUCUAUUAUUGUUUGACUCAAUACGUAAUAAUAAAAAUCUUUAAAAAUA
Molecule: non-coding RNA, 11562 nt
Organism: Rattus norvegicus (Norway rat)
Lineage: Eukaryota; Metazoa; Chordata; Mammalia; Rodentia; Muridae
Source: RefSeq, a predicted model, not a curated record